GGGAGUUGCCUACAGUUGGUAGAGCACUUGACUUUUAAUCAAGUUGUCCGGGGUUCGAAUCCCCGAUGUCUCA
This 73-nucleotide transfer RNA is filed under the name Roseburia sp. AF12-17LB. RNAcentral describes it as "tRNA-Lys". It matches the Rfam family "tRNA". Rfam says of the family: Transfer RNA (tRNA) molecules are approximately 80 nucleotides in length. Their secondary structure includes four short double-helical elements and three loops (D, anti-codon, and T loops). The record is from RNAcentral. Lineage: Bacteria; Bacillati; Bacillota; Clostridia; Lachnospirales; Lachnospiraceae. RNAcentral also lists the same sequence under 1 other name.